This 191-nucleotide ribosomal RNA is filed under the name uncultured Bacteroidales bacterium. RNAcentral describes it as "partial 16S ribosomal RNA". It matches the Rfam family "Bacterial small subunit ribosomal RNA", at positions 143 to 334 of the family's 1533-position model. Lineage: Bacteria; Pseudomonadati; Bacteroidota; Bacteroidia; Bacteroidales. The record is from RNAcentral.
ANAACCCGUUUAAAGACGGACUAAUACCGUAUGACGUCGUUAGCUGACAUCAAAUAACGAUUAAAGGUUUAGCGGUGAUGGAUGGGGAUGCGUCUGAUUAGCUUGUUGGCGGGGUAACGGCCCACCAAGGCGACGAUCAGUAGGGGUUCUGAGAGGAAGGUCCCCCACAUUGGAACUGAGACACGGUCCAA